Molecule: long non-coding RNA, 231 nt
Filed under: Coffea arabica (coffee)
Lineage: Eukaryota; Viridiplantae; Streptophyta; Magnoliopsida; Gentianales; Rubiaceae
Description: long non-coding RNA (CARA_LNC000511)
Source: RNAcentral
AUACUAAUAUCUCUUCAAGAAAUACUUUUAGUUAUGAAACUAAUCAGAUUCAAAAGAUCAAGUGCAAUUGAAAGGGACAAAAGCUGUUGAAAGCUGUCAGACGCUUGUGAAGUCAGGAUCGAACGUCCGAUACUCAUUGCGCAAGUUCGGACGCAUGAAAAACUCCAUCACCGGACGUUUGAAAGAAUUGAAGAAAAUCUCUUAAGCUCACUGCCUGCUAUCGGACGCAAA